GACGGGGCCCGCACAAGCGUGGAGCAUGUGGUUUAAUUCGAAGCAACGCGAAGAACCUUACCAGGCCUUGACAUGCAGAGAACUUUCCAGAGAUGGAUUGGUGCCUUCGGGAACUCUGACACAGGUGCUGCAUGGCUGUCGUCAGCUCGUGUCGUGAGAUGUUGGGUUAAGUCCCGUAACGAGCGCAACCCUUGUCCUUAGUUACCAGCACGUUAUGGUGGGCACUCUAAGGAGACUGCCGGUGCAAACCGGAGGAAGGUGGGGAUGACGUCAAGUCAUCAUGGCCCCUACGGCCUGGGCUACACACGUGCUACAAUGGUCGGUACAAAGGGUUGCCAAGCCGCGAGGUGGAGCUAAUCCCAUAAAACCGAUCGUAGUCCGGAUCGCAGUCUGCAACUCGACUGCGUGAAGUCGGAAUCGCUAGUAAUCGUGAAUCAGAAUGUCACGGUGAAUACGUUCCCGGGCCUU
RNAcentral lists this ribosomal RNA (468 nucleotides) under uncultured Pseudomonas sp. Its description in RNAcentral is "bacterial SSU rRNA". It matches the Rfam family "Bacterial small subunit ribosomal RNA", at positions 916 to 1381 of the family's 1533-position model. The record is from RNAcentral. Lineage: Bacteria; Pseudomonadati; Pseudomonadota; Gammaproteobacteria; Pseudomonadales; Pseudomonadaceae.